UCGGGGCUCCUUGGUGAAUCAUAAUAACUUAACGAAUCGCAUGGCCUUGCGCCGGCGAUGGUUCAUUCAAAUUUCUGCCCUAUCAACUUUCAAUGGUAGGAUAGUGGCCUACCAUGGUGUCAACGGGUAACGGGGAAUUAGGGUUCAACUCCGGAGAGGGAGCCGGAGAAACGGCUACCACAUCCAAGGAAGGCAGCAGGCCCCCAAAUUACCCAAUCCCGACACGGGGAGGUAGUGACAAUAAAUACUGAUACGGGGCUCUUUUGGGUCUUGUAAUUGAAAUGAUAACAAUUUAAAUCCCUUAACAAGGAACAAUUGAAGGGCAAGUCUGGUGCCAGCAGCCGCGGUAAUUCCAGCUCCAAUAGCGUAUAUUAAAGUUGUUGCAGUUAAAAAGCUCGAAUUUAAACCUUGGGCCGGGCUGGCCGGUCCGCCUCACCGCGUGUACUGGUCCGGCCGGGCCUUUCCUUCUGGGGAACCGCAUGCCCUUCACUGGGCGUGCCGGGGAAACAGGAAUUUUACUUUGAAAAAAUUAGAGUGGUCCAAGCAGGCCUUUGCUCCAAUACAUUAACAUGGAAUAAUAGAAUAGGACGUGUGGUUCUAUUUUGUUGGUUUCCAGGACCGCCGUAAUGAUUAAUAGGGAUAGUCGGGGGCAUCAGUAUUCCAUCUUCAGAGGUGAAAUUCUUGGAUUUGUUGGAAGCUAACUACUGCGAAAGCAUUUGCCAAGGAUGUUUUUUAUUAAAUCCAGGAGAACCAAAAAUUUUAGGGGAUACCGAAAACAAACUAUCCAUAUAUCACCUCGCCAGUACUUCUUACCCCUAUAACUACUAUCCCCACAACUAGGAGUAUCGACAAAUGGUUAUUUUUGGGUUCACUG
Molecule: ribosomal RNA, 874 nt
Filed under: Capnodiales sp. Rco011EF4
Lineage: Eukaryota; Fungi; Ascomycota; Dothideomycetes; Capnodiales
Description: bacterial SSU rRNA
Rfam family: Eukaryotic small subunit ribosomal RNA
Source: RNAcentral